AACGAACGCUGGCGGCAGGCUUAACACAUGCAAGUCGAACGGGUGUAGCAAUACAUCAGUGGCAGACGGGUGAGUAACACGUGGGAACCUUCCUAGGGGCACGGAACAACGCAGGGAGACUUGAGCUAAUACCGUAUACGUCCGCGAGGAGAAAGAUUUAUCGCCCCUAGACGGGCCCGCGUCGGAUUAGCUAGUUGGUGGGGUAACGGCCUACCAAGGCGCCGAUCCGUAGAUGAUCUUAGAGGAUGAUCAGCCACACUGGGACUGAGACACGGCCCAGACUCCUACGGGAGGCAGCAGUGGGGAAUCUUGGACAAUGGGCGCAAGCCUGAUCCAGCCAUGCCGCGUGAGUGAAGAAGGUCUUCGGAUUGUAAAGCUCUUUUGCCAGGGACGAUAAUGACGGUACCUGGAGAAUAAGCCCCGGCAAACUUCGUGCCAGCCGCCGCCGUAA
RNAcentral lists this ribosomal RNA (451 nucleotides) under uncultured bacterium. RNAcentral's name for it is "partial 16S ribosomal RNA". It matches the Rfam family "Bacterial small subunit ribosomal RNA", at positions 29 to 523 of the family's 1533-position model. The record is from RNAcentral.